AAAAAAAGGGAGGGAGGGAGAAAGGAAAAGGCUUAAGGCAGGAAACUGUCUCUCUUCUUGGAUUUUAAAAGAAAGCAAGCAAGCAAAACAGCCAGGAGUUUUCCCCGGGAGUGAGAAAAACAGCCUGGCCAGCCUGCCCUCUCCUGGGGGUUACAGGAUUGCUGACAGCUCGGGUCCACGUGAUGGUCUAGAAAAGAGGCUCAAGCUGAGGAAAAUCCAAGAAAUCUUCUUAGGAGUCUUCCUUUCUAAAUGUAAAUGACUGAGUCAGUGCUUUGCUAAGGAGGGAAGGAAGUCACAAUCAGGCCGAGUGACUCAUUCAGUGCUGUUAGCUCCGGGAGUUGGAUAAAAAGUUUUAGCCAAAGCAGCAACAAAUCUACUUUAAAUACUAGCACAGUAAGGAAAUUCCUCUCUUUCAGGCUGAAUGCCACCCGCACAAAAGAACUCCUGUUGACAUCUCAUUUACAAUCUCCCCCAGGACACAGACAAGACUAUUUCAAUAAACCCAGCUCAGAGACACCUAUUGUUCGGAAUCUUCAACUAGCAACAGGCUUCCACCACAACCUAUUGUUUUGUAAAAUAAAGGAUUUUGAAGGAGAAGGAUUGAGACUGUGGACGCCGUGAAAAGAGGAAGGAAAAAAGUCCCUUUGACCUGAUGCUGUCACAGAGCGUGCAAGAAGAAUGAAGUUAAUGGAUUUCCAUUUUCAUAAGAAGUGCAUAAGAAACGCCUGUUAAGUUUCUGAACUGGUGAUGGAGAAUUCCAAAUUUGCUGCCAGCUUGGUGCAUCGAGAAGCAAACUCCUGCCCACGGGUUUGCUAAAUGCAAAGCCCCGGGCUAUACUUACCCUAUUCUCAGCCUUGCCAAAGUCCUGAUAGCCCCAAUAGCAGAGCACCAGGUGAGUCUUUGAUCUGGGUUGUUUCCCUGGGAAUUAGAGCCUGACUGUCUUUUCCAAGUAGAAUUUCCAGGCUCAGAGUCCACUCCCCCCCCCCCCACCUCCCCUUUAAUGAUUUCCUUUUUUCCGUCACCACCAUUUUGCUCCCUCUUUGAGUAAAAGGUAAACACUCUCUGGA
This 1067-nucleotide long non-coding RNA is filed under the name Lynx pardinus (Iberian lynx). Lineage: Eukaryota; Metazoa; Chordata; Mammalia; Carnivora; Felidae. The record is from RNAcentral.